AGUGAACGCUGGCGGUAGGCCUAACACAUGCAAGUCGAACGGCAGCACAGUAAGAGCUUGCUCUUACGGGUGGCGAGUGGCGGACGGGUGAGGAAUACAUCGGAAUCUACUUUUUCGUGGGGGAUAACGUAGGGAAACUUACGCUAAUACCGCAUACGACCUACGGGUGAAAGCAGGGGAUCUUCGGACCUUGCGCGAUUGAAUGAGCCGAUGUCGGAUUAGCUAGUUGGCGGGGUAAAGGCCCACCAAGGCGACGAUCCGUAGCUGGUCUGAGAGGAUGAGCAGCAACAGUGGAGCUGAGCCGCAGUGCGGACGCAGACGGGAGGCAGCAGGGGGGAGUGGUGAACAAUGGGCGCAAGUCUGAACCAGCCAUACCGCGGGGAAGAAGGAGGCCGGCGGGUAGUAAAGGCCUUUGGUGGGGAAAGAAAAGCAGCAGGUUAAUACCCCGCUGUUAUGACGGUACACAAAGAAUAAGCGCCGGCUAACUUC
Molecule: ribosomal RNA, 489 nt
Filed under: uncultured bacterium
Lineage: Bacteria
Description: partial 16S ribosomal RNA
Rfam family: Bacterial small subunit ribosomal RNA
Source: RNAcentral